UCCCAUGAGCAAGAUGAUUCUCGUACUUAUGGGGCGCACACGCGUGACGAUCUGAGGAUCGUCCGGCGAAAGCCGCGUGUGCGCUGAGGGCCCCUUCGAGGGCCCUUUUUUAUUGCUCGGA
This 121-nucleotide small RNA is filed under the name Aureimonas sp. Leaf460. RNAcentral's name for it is "Rhizobiales sRNA Atu_C8". It matches the Rfam family "Rhizobiales sRNA Atu_C8". Lineage: Bacteria; Pseudomonadati; Pseudomonadota; Alphaproteobacteria; Hyphomicrobiales; Aurantimonadaceae. The record is from Rfam by way of RNAcentral.